UAGCCAACCUGCACUGCCAUGUACCAUUCAGACUACUAACCUGCUGCCUAGCAAACUGUCUCUCUCCCCAUUAAAACAGUUUAUUUCUCAAUACUCAACACUAUAACCCAAAACUGUGACACUUAUUAUAGUUCAUUUACAGCAGUGGGUUGAUUUAGAAUCCCCUCACUCAUAAAAGUCACAAUCAGAAUCCAUUGGCUGACCACCUCCUACAGUGGUGAGAUGGUUUUUGGCCAGUGUGUGAGCUGUGGCUGUGCAGCCCUGCUCAGGAAAAUAAACCACCAUGGGGAGCAAUGUAGUAUGGUCCCAAGUGGUACCAAUUGGGUAUUGCAGUAUGCGAGUGUGAUGAAUGAGGCAUGGCGGCUUACUCGUUGUUAUAAUAAUCCACCUACCCUGAUGACAUCAUCUCAGUGGUUUGUAUGUUUACCAUGGUGACCACCUCUGACCAAUGGCUAGUGGUGGUUGCUGUGAUGAAUGGGGGAGGGUUGCAAAAAGUUUGAGAUUUCAGGUCUUAAAGAAAUCAUCACAAACAAUCUCAAUAUGUGUUGUAUGGUUAUAUAGUGAGUAUACUGCUGUAUCUGAUUGUCUUAGUGUAAUUUUUACAAGAAGGGAUAUCAUGAUACGAUGAUCAUUGUGAAAUGAUCUGUCUUUUGAGGAGAAAUUGGUUGAAGAUUUUUUAAAAAUUAAGAUGAGCAAGCUCUUUAAGACCUGGAUCAAGUAACUGUUGUUGUCUAUGACCUAAACAUGUCUGUGUGUGUGUUUGUGUGUGUGUGUGUGUGUGUGUGUGUGUGUGUGUGUGUGUAUGUUUGUGUACGUGCAUACGUGCGUGCGUGCAUGUGUGUGUGAAUGUUUUCUAUGAGAAUUGCACUGCAUGCACUCCGAGUUUCCAUCCAAAAGGAAGAGUUAAAUGUUUUUUUUAGUACAUAAUAGGUACGUGAUUUUUGUCAAUUCUAAAUCUCUCAGAACUUUCUAUUUUAUUCCAGUGUGAAACCCAGUCUAUCGGAGGUUAGUUGUAUCUCUCAGUAUUCAAGGUAGUAAACUUUGCUGGCAUGAGAAAAGGUAUUAUAUAAAAUCCCUAAAAUAGUAUUUUUUUGUAAUUUGUUUUACAGGAAAAUGUAGACAGUGUUUAACUGAUACAUUUUCUACAAUUCUAUUUGAAGGGACAGUUCACCCCUAUAUCAAAAAUACACAUUUGUUCUCUUACUAGGAGUGCUACUAUCCAUCAAUUGGAUAUCAGCCAUGGAUAAGUCUUUUCCCCUUUUGAAUAUAAUAGGACUUAAUGGCACUGCAUAUUUGUGGUGCUCAAAAAAGCUCUCCAGCGUGAGUUGUUUAAACUAAUUUUACUGUUUUGUUUUGUUUUGUUUUUGUUUUGUUUUUUUAAUGAAACCGGGCAACAUAUUUUCUCUGGCAAUUUUAGGGUUAUCUAUCAUGAUAAUGAUGUAAUGUCACAUAUGCGCCUCUACUUCUAAGCAGGUGACCUAAAGCAGAAUGAAAAAAGCAGUUUACAGCGUCUGUAGGGUGAGGAGGAGUGAAAAAAAAAUGUUGUUCUGAAAAAGCUGGUUAUGAACAUAAGAUUCAACUUAUGGAUGGCUGAGCUCCCAUCAUCUCUGAAAAUGAGAAGAUGGAGCGAUUGAAAGUGAACAGAAAUUAAGCAAUAAGUCAAAUGAAGAGAUUUGCCAUCUUUAAAUGUGCAUUUGAAAGUUCUGGACAUAAGUGUAGUACAAAACAUUAAAAAAUGAGCUUAACAACAGAGCUGAAGAAUAAACCGUUCUGGAUUUGCAUCCAAGAUGCCUUAGAAAUUAAUUGGAGAGGUAUUUACCACUACGCAGCCAGGGACUGGCCAUCCCUUCUUGUAAUACCUCGUCUAUUGCCAGAGGUGAGAAUAAGUCACUGUAGUCUCUAGUCUGUUGCAGGAGAGGAUGAAGAAGUUGCACGAAUCAGAGUCAAUGGCUACUGAAUAGAGCCUUAGUCAGAUGCAGAUGUUCCAGAAAAAUACAUUUUGUCAUCAUCUCAAACAACAGCUCCCAGAAAGACAACACGACUCUGGCAAAGAAAAGAAGCCACAAAGUAAAAAGCAAAACAAGAUUACAUUUUGCUGGGGCAUUUCAACGCUGGAGACAAAUUUGCAACAUUUCUAUCGACUGGAGCAGAAAUCAAGUCCAGCCACCCCCAGUGAUUAAUUACCACCCUGCUCUUAAUAUCUCAUCAACAAACACCCCAGUCUGUCUCUAUACAUCACAUUAGCUGACAUCUUUGACCACCUAACCAUGAAACAUACUCUCUAUACUUUAACUUUUGCACAUUCUGUGAUGAACAAGUAGGGUGCUGUGUCUCAGGGGUAGAGCCAGUGACUUGUUAUCAGAAGGUCACUGGUUUGAUUUCCCCGGUCUGCAUGUAGAAGUUUCCUUGGGUAAGAUACCAAACCCCAUAUAACUGCUGCUGAUGUGAUGGUUCUUGCAUCAGUGUAUGAAUGUAUGUAUGAAUUACUGUGAGGUGCUUUGGACAAAAGCGUCUGCUAAAAUACCCUGAAAUGAAAUUGAAUAAGAGGUUUGCGCAAAGCUGUACUGCUUUGUGAGUCUAAAAUAUACAUACUUAAUAUAGUAUUUCCCUAUUUUUUUUAAUUUUAAUUUUUACACUGAUAGUAUUGGCUGUUGCAGUAACAAGCCUUAUAUUAACACCAAGGCAAAAAAGGAAGUGAUAUAAUGUCUGCUAUUGCAUUGAUAUUUUGUACAUUUUGUAAACUGUAAUAAAAGGAUGGAAGGCUGA
Long non-coding RNA from Acanthopagrus latus (yellowfin seabream), 2766 nucleotides. RefSeq lists it as uncharacterized. The record is from RefSeq and is a predicted model, not a curated record. NCBI's taxonomy places the organism in Eukaryota, Metazoa, Chordata, Actinopteri, Spariformes, Sparidae. The transcript is spliced from 2 exons.